Long non-coding RNA from Bombina bombina (fire-bellied toad), 333 nucleotides. RefSeq lists it as uncharacterized. The transcript is spliced from 4 exons. The record is from RefSeq and is a predicted model, not a curated record. NCBI's taxonomy places the organism in Eukaryota, Metazoa, Chordata, Amphibia, Anura, Bombinatoridae.
UCAAGUACAAAACCGAAGUGCAAAUGAGCAAUUCAGUCAACAGAUCAAUUCAACGCCCUGCUCCUGUAGAGAACUAAGACCUGUAAUGAUCAGUGUGUCAUUGGCUAUUAUAACUGUGGUUACCAUGGGAAUAAUUGUAUAUGGCAAACAAUGUCACUUAGUGUCUACAAAAAGCCAACAAGCAGUGGAAAUGCAGAGGAUGCCAUUAUAGGAGGAUCUUCAUAGGAAUGCCAACAAAACAGAUCUAAAAUCCAAUAGAUGCUGCUAAUGCUGCUGCCAUUCCUUCCAGAAGUUUUGUGACUUAUUUCAAGAUCAUCUACUCCAAUACAACCG